AACGAACGCUGGCGGCAUGCCUAACACAUGCAAGUCGAACGAGAUCUUCGGGUCUAGUGGCGCACGGGUGCGUAACGCGUGGGAAUCUGCCCUUUGGUUCGGAAUAACAGUUGGAAACGACUGCUAAUACCGGAUGAUGACGAAAGUCCAAAGAUUUAUCGCCAGAGGAUGAGCCCGCGUAGGAUUAGCUAGUUGGUGUGGUAAAGGCGCACCAAGGUGACGAUCCUUAGCUGGUCUGAGAGGAGGAUCAGCCACACUGGGACUGAGACACGGCCCAGACUCCUACGGGAGGCAGCAGUGGGGAAUAUUGGACAAUGGGCGAAAGCCUGAUCCAGCAAUGCCGCGUGAGUGAUGAAGGCCUUAGGGUUGUAAAGCUCUUUUACCCGGGAUGAUAAUGACAGUACCGGGAGAAUAAGCUCCGGCUAACUCCGUGCCAGCAGCCGCGUAA
Molecule: ribosomal RNA, 448 nt
Filed under: uncultured bacterium
Lineage: Bacteria
Description: partial 16S ribosomal RNA
Rfam family: Bacterial small subunit ribosomal RNA
Source: RNAcentral